Capsicum annuum is the source of this 2094-nucleotide long non-coding RNA. RefSeq lists it as uncharacterized. The record is from RefSeq and is a predicted model, not a curated record. NCBI's taxonomy places the organism in Eukaryota, Viridiplantae, Streptophyta, Magnoliopsida, Solanales, Solanaceae. The transcript has 3 exons.
AGAACAUCAAACAAUAAAUUCUUCCUUAGAACAACCUCCCAAACCACCAGAUGAUCCUUCCUACAAAGUUAAAUUACUAUCUAAUGAAGUCAUCCUGGACAUGGAUAUGGCAGAUAACAUUUUAUCCCAACCCAAUCCAAUGGAAUCUAGCCCAGUUCCCAGCCUCUUCCCUAUUAUUGAUGGCAUUACAACGAUUACUCUUUUCCAAGAAGAUAACUUCAGAAUCUAUGCACCGUGGAAGUACUCUCUUAUUAUCAAGUCGAUAGGCAUUCACAUUCCCUAUCAAUCCCUUCGAACCAAAUUAUAACAAAAAUGAAAAAUCAUGGAACAAACUCCCCUGAUCGAUUUAGGGGCGGAUUAUUACAUACUCAAAUUCUCCAAGUUAGAAGAUAUGAACACUGUCCUUAACAAUGGACCCUGGUUCAUAUAUGGUCACUACCUCUCUAUUCAGAAGUGGGUUCCAAAUUUUAUCCCAGAAAGAGCAGUUCUUUCGGCAUCGGCUAUUUGGAUUUGUCUUCCCUAUAACACUAUACUACUUUAAAAAGUUGGUAACUCCAUCAUUGGUAAGCUGCUGAAAAUUGAUGCAUGCACUAGCUCAACUUUACGAGGAAGAUAUGCGAGGCUAUGCAUACAAAUGUCAUUUGCAGACUCGAUUCCUUCCUAAAUUCAGAUCGAAACUCACCUGCAAAACAUUGUAUAUGAGGCCGAUGAUUUUCUCUGUAAAAACUGUGGAAGAUUAGGCCAUAUCCAAAGAACUUGUCAUUAUCAUAAUGAACAAAGUAAGAAGGGUACUCCUAUCCCCCCAUGCAGAAAAAGUUAUUCAAGAUUUACCUUCACAAGAUUCAAGUGUAGUUGAGUGGCACACAGUUCAAUUCCCAAGGAGAAAAAAGAAGGCUACAAAAGGUAAAAAUGUUGCAGACAAGGUAAUAACUUGUAAUACCCCACAAAGUUCUCUCGUAGUCUGAGCUUUAUAGCGUGCCAAGUGAAGUGUAAUUUCGGUCUUAAAAGGUCGAGAAGAGACUUUCAAAGUGAAAAAUAUUUUAAACCAUGUCGAAUUUCUCUAAUAUUGUCUUUUUUCCAUGUAGAGAAUUGAAUAAGCUUUUCGUCGAUACCAAAUUCGUCUAAAUCCGACACUCGGGCGAAGAGUUAGAGCCAUUUUAGUGAGACAAUGUGCCACCUGACACUUUAGCGCAUCGCGGAGCCAGCCAAAAUGGCAAUUGUCAAAUUCUAGUGAGCCUCCAUGAUUCCAUCGUGUCGUGGUGUCUUUCUAGUUCGCAACCAAGGUGGCAACGCGAUUUUUACCGCGUCGCGCUAAGGCUCAGUUUCCCAAUUGUCCAAUUUCCAGUAAGCUGGUGCGAUUAUGGCGCGUCGCGCCAGCACUUAAAAUUGGGAUUUUUUCAGUUAUGAAUUUUAAUUCCAAAGGCAAAAAGGGUCUUUGUCCAACCCCUAUAUAUACUCUUUAACAUAAGAUUCAGCAUAUUUACACCCAAAUAUUAUUGGUUUCUCUCAAUUUUCUUCAAGAACAAGACCUUGGGUUUCUAAUCCAAGACCCAAAUCAUCAAGGUUUCACAGUGAAUCUUUCAAGAAUUACAUAGCAAGGAAAUUCUGGGGGUUUGGUUGUUAUGUGGUACUCUCACCUUCUUAAUGUAACCCGUAAACAACGCAUUGACCAAGAGAUUCACGCCAUGAUCCAGGUUGUUGUUGAAGAGGCUGGGGAAUCCUGUGCUCCGCCAUAAUUUCAGACAAGCAAAUUCAGCAGCUGACCUGCUGUGCAGAUUACGAGCCCAAAAAAUCCAGGCACAGUGGACUUUUUGUUAUCACCACCAACCCAAGCUAUCUCUCUCCUGGAAGCUGAUCGUUGGAAUGUGUUAUCUAUUAGACUCUUUCUAGUUUAAGUUGUUUUAACUUAGUGAAGUUUGGUAACCUCUCUGUAAUCAAAAGUGCUGCUGACACUUUGAACACACCUAUGUUUUGCUCUAUCUAGUAUUUAUGAAAUAAUCCCUCUUAUCCAAAAAAAAAAAAAAAAAAAAAAAAUUAUAACUCCUUAAUAGUUAAAUGACAUUUAUUAUUUAUUAUUUAACCACUAUCAGUUUU